UCCUACGGGAGGCAGCAGUGGGGAAUAUUGGACAAUGGGCGAAAGCCUGAUCCAGCCAUGCCGCGUGUGUGAAGAAGGUCUUCGGAUUGUAAAGCACUUUAAGUUGGGAGGAAGGGCAGUAAGUUAAUACCUGCUGUUUGACGUACCGACAGAAUAGCCCGAUGCCC
RNAcentral lists this ribosomal RNA (167 nucleotides) under Pseudomonas sp. MA371. Its description in RNAcentral is "partial 16S ribosomal RNA". It matches the Rfam family "Bacterial small subunit ribosomal RNA", at positions 337 to 499 of the family's 1533-position model. Lineage: Bacteria; Pseudomonadati; Pseudomonadota; Gammaproteobacteria; Pseudomonadales; Pseudomonadaceae. The record is from RNAcentral.